CCGGCCGUAGCUCAAUCGGCAGAGCAGGGUCCUUAAACUUCCCUGGUUCCUGGUUCGAAUCCGGGCGGCCGGA
Entophlyctis helioformis is the source of this 73-nucleotide non-coding RNA. NCBI's taxonomy places the organism in Eukaryota, Fungi, Chytridiomycota, Chytridiomycetes, Chytridiales, Chytriomycetaceae. The record is from the annotation of a GenBank genome assembly.